Molecule: non-coding RNA, 45 nt
Filed under: Echinostoma caproni
Lineage: Eukaryota; Metazoa; Platyhelminthes; Trematoda; Plagiorchiida; Echinostomatidae
Source: RNAcentral
GCACUACUGACGAUUCCCGAACAGGACGAAACAGCUGUCCAGUGC